UAAUCCGACCAAGGCUCAUCUGAUAGCGCAAGGCCCGAAGGUCCCCUGCUUUCUCCCGUAGGACGUAUGCGGUAUUAGCGUCCGUUUCCGAGCGUUAUCCCCCACUACCAGGCAGAUUCCUAGGCAUUACUCACCCGUCCGCCGCUCUCAAGAGAAGCAAGCUUCUCUCUACCGCUCGACUUGCAUGUGUUAGGCCUGCCGCCAGCGUUCAAUCUGAGCCAGGAUCAAACUCU
This 233-nucleotide ribosomal RNA is filed under the name uncultured bacterium. Its description in RNAcentral is "partial 16S ribosomal RNA". The record is from RNAcentral.